Pelobates cultripes (western spadefoot toad) is the source of this 700-nucleotide non-coding RNA. The record is from the annotation of a GenBank genome assembly. Lineage: Eukaryota; Metazoa; Chordata; Amphibia; Anura; Pelobatidae.
UUAUAACUUUUAUCAUGGAGUCUGUAGUGUCUAUAUUCCUACUAACUCAGUUUUGCUUGGUGGCCCCGGUCAUUAUGCUUAAGUUGAUGAGUCUUGUUUUAGUCAUAAAAUAAAGUACCAUCGCGACUGUGCCCUGCGAAAUAUAGGUUCUUGGGAUUGUGGACAUGGCAACAAUGUCAGCUGUUGUGUAUAUGGAAGUUGUUUCUAACAGAAGUGCUGAAACUCUCCUUCCUAUUAUUUGACAUGAGAUCUGCCUAGGUUUGAUGGUGCACAGUGAUUCCCAAGCUGCCUACAACAAUAGUCAACAGGCACUGAAAUUGAGUAAUGAACAUGUCAGUCUCAGUGAUCCAAAUUUACAAUUCGUUUCUACAACUGUUACCCUCACACAACAUAUAGAGUCUUAGUGGAAUAAGUGUAAGGUUUGGAUCAUGACAAAAAGUAGUGUUCUUCGUGAUUUGCUUCCAACAUAUCGUGCAGAAUUCAUGUAGAGAGAUCAGUUUGGCAAAGACACUUUUAGCACUCUGCAUCUGAAUAUUGCAGAGCAGUUUCCUGUUUAGUAAAUACAAUUUUCUUUUUUUUUUAUUGUUUCAUUCAAUGCAUCUUUAGUUUUUAAAUAUGCAUUUUAAUUUAUUUCAACUAUGUAUAAGGGUCAUAUACUUCAUUUAUGUCAAGUGAAGUUUAUGACCUAGAUGAACAUUAU